Paramuricea clavata is the source of this 73-nucleotide non-coding RNA. Lineage: Eukaryota; Metazoa; Cnidaria; Anthozoa; Malacalcyonacea; Plexauridae. The record is from the annotation of a GenBank genome assembly.
GACCACGUAGCUCAGUUGGCAGAGCAUUGGGCUAGUAUUCCAAAGGUCGUAGGUUCGAUUCCCGCCGAGGGCA